This 843-nucleotide long non-coding RNA is filed under the name Marmota monax (woodchuck). Lineage: Eukaryota; Metazoa; Chordata; Mammalia; Rodentia; Sciuridae. The record is from RNAcentral.
AGAAAGGAAGACAAAUUUCAUUUACUUACACUUUUAACUGGGACGUUCUCUGGCUGUAGUUGAAUAUAAAACACUCUGAUUUAUUUUAGACAUUUAACUGCUCCAACUUUCACAUUAGAUAAAUGGUAACAUGACCUUCAAUUCUCUCUUACUUUAGGGUUUUUGAAAGCUUCAACAUCAGUGAAUAUUAUUUAAUUGUUGACCCAACUGGUCUUUGACUAUAAAAUAUACUAAAAUAUUUUCCAACAUUGACUUGUGGGAAAUGGAUAUUUCAUACUACAAGUACUAAUUUGCUUAGUACUUACUGAACACUUACUAUGUGCAGAGGCCUUGGACAAUUAAGUUGAAACUUGGAAUUGAGAAUGAUUGUAGGUCAUAUACACUAUUAUCUUUUCCUAUUUAUCCUUGUUUCUUUUUAGUUUUGAAAUGGAAUUAGACUUUAAAAAAAAAUCUUAUGACCUUCCUCAGGAAGUCUCCUGGUCAUUUGAGAGACCUAGACUUCAUGACCCAUACCUGGGACUAAAAUAUGCACUUGCCUAAGGUGCCAGAAAUACCGUCAUGCAGUGUUUGUUGGCUUUUAAAAAAUAAACACUGUCAUGUCCGAACAAGUGGAAAAUAUAGCUACCCCUGCUGUACUUCCAGUUCCCUUCUCUGUUUGCUGUCCAGAAGCUCUGCCUGAGGUUGAAACACUGAAUGGUUCUCAGAUACGUCUAAAUGCAUUCCUUGCUGUGAAGCAGGAUGGAAACUGGAUGCUUCUCAUGGUCUGAAUUUCCUUGUGAUAUUAUUAACUUUUUCAACUUUUUCUCCCAAAGGCCAUGAUAGAAAGUAAACAAAGAAAUAAAG